Molecule: ribosomal RNA, 256 nt
Filed under: uncultured Oscillospiraceae bacterium
Lineage: Bacteria; Bacillati; Bacillota; Clostridia; Eubacteriales; Oscillospiraceae
Description: partial 16S ribosomal RNA
Rfam family: Bacterial small subunit ribosomal RNA
Source: RNAcentral
AAGCAGAGGACAGUGGCGGACGGGUGAGUAACGCGUGAGGAACCUGCCUUUCAGAGGGGGACAACAGUUGGAAACGACUGCUAAUACCGCAUGAUAUAUUGGUGUCGCAUGGCACUGAUAUCAAAGAUUUAUCGCUCUGAGAUGGACUCGCGUCUGAUUAGCUAGUUGGUGAGGUAACGGCCCACCAAGGCGACGAUCAGUAGCCGGACUGAGAGGUUGAACGGCCACAUUGGGACUGAGAUACGGCCCAGACUCC